This 253-nucleotide ribosomal RNA is filed under the name uncultured bacterium. Its description in RNAcentral is "partial 16S ribosomal RNA". It matches the Rfam family "Bacterial small subunit ribosomal RNA", at positions 524 to 776 of the family's 1533-position model. The record is from RNAcentral.
GACAGAGGGCGCAAGCGUUAAUCGGAAUUACUGGGCGUAAAGGGCGCGUAGGCGGAUAGAUAAGUGAGAUGUGAAAGACCCGAGCUUAACUUGGGGGCGAGGUCUCAGACUGUGUAUCUAGAGUUUAGGAGAGGGGAGUGGAAUUUCCGGAGUAGCGGUGAAAUGCGUAGAGAUCGGAAGGAACAUUCGAGGCGAAGGCGGCUCUCUGGCCAUAGACUGACGCUGAGGCGCGAAAGCGUGGGGAGCGAACAGG